Molecule: long non-coding RNA, 2555 nt
Organism: Symphalangus syndactylus (siamang)
Lineage: Eukaryota; Metazoa; Chordata; Mammalia; Primates; Hylobatidae
Source: RefSeq, a predicted model, not a curated record
AAACAAGGAAACUUUUCGGAGCUGUCAAUCAGGGCCCAAUCAGCUGACUGUCAGCUGGGACGGGCUGGCUUAACCCUUCCUGCGCCGCUGCCUACCCGGGAGCGAACGAGGCCCGGCGCAAAGUUUGGUGUAAGAGGGGAAGGAGUUUUUCCAGAGGGGCUUCGGCAGUCCGGGCGGACCUGGGAGGACGGUUUGCUUUUCUUUGGAGCGCGAGACAGGCCUCCCAUCCAGAGCCGCAGCUCCCCGGGGGCUCACUCUGCGGGGAUUGGCCUGAUUCCCCUCCCCUGCCUGCCCCCCACCCCCAGGAUUGUGAAUUCGCAUCCCAGCUUCUCCUCCUCGCACCACCUCUGGCACCCAGGUGUCUGCCGGGGACCUUCCUUCCCUGAGCCUGGCGGUGCCCGCCGCUCAAACUUGGCCCCAACUCUUUGUCCGUCUCUCGGGCGCCGUUGCGGGGAAGGGACCGGGAAGGGAGGGAUGCACUGGGGUGUCCGGGUCGGGGCUGCGGGGUGGACGCCGCCCGCUCGUGCGCCUGCCCAGAAGACUGGGAGUCCGUGGAGAGAGAAAGCCCAUUUUAUCACUCUCUUUAAAAGGAGGUAAAAUAAGUUGUUUAGAGACCAUUCUUCACGGAGACUGGUUGCCCGCUGGUGUCGCGUGCCCUUGGACAGAGCGAGCGCCUAUGCGAGAUAACUCCGGGGAAGCUCAAAGUCAGGUCAGCCGGGCUCAGCCCUCCGGCUCCUGACUGGCCGGAGUUUGGCCUUUGAGACUCAUAUUGCGCGCUCGCUGUCUCUCUCUUACACACACACACACACUCACACUCACCCAUCCCCUUACGAAAUCUGACCUCUGUUUAUGAGGGUCAGGCGUGCCCUUUGCACUUUUACGUUUCCUUUAAUUAUUUCGGACUUGAUCGUGACGGGGAGCAAGGGGGAAAAACAAUACCCCAGCCCUCACCAGCUCACCUCGAAGGGUUAAAUUUUAAACCGCGGUUUCUGGAACUAGUCCGGAAACGCAGAGGGGGGGUGGAGUGGGGGAGGCUGCUCCCCCCACCCCCAGUUGCAAAUGCUAAUAAGUAGUUGAAAUUUCUAGAUUGAUUCUGUAAAAGUUUAUGCAAAAAAGAAAUAAAAAAGAAAAAGAAAAGAGAAAGAAGGAAACCAACAACUAACUCUGUUUCUAAGAUUUUAAAGCGAUAGGCAAGUCGAAGAAGCAGAGAUUUAUUUGGAGAGAAAGCUCCUGAAACCGACCCAGCCUUUCGAAGACCAGCCCGCCUGCUUAGAAGUUGGGACUGUUGAUUCCUUCAAUUAAUGAAAUGCAUUUGGUGUUGUUAAUCGUAUUUAUUUUACUUUAUGAGAGGGGGGAGACGCUAGGAGGGUGCAUUAAAAAAAAAUUCUGAAAAGCCUGCAAAAGGAUCGAAGAGUGGAAACUAUUGUUGGAGCGAGUUGGUUUUUACCUCAACAGCGCCACCUUUCGGCAAAGGGUUCUUCCUUGGAAAACAAUAUACAUCACUUAAUGAAAUCUUUGUUUUGCGCAAGAGAUGUAAAAAAUCCAGAUGUUUUCUUCUGUGAGAAUUCCUGGGAAGGUGUACCAGCCUUCUUCUCUUUCUUCACCUGACAAAGACACCCAACACAGCCUUGCAGACCGGAGGUGUUUUAAUACAUAGUUUUGUGCACACAUGAACGUGGGAAUGAAAGGGCUGCUUUUGGUUUUAGACAAUAGACAGAGCUAUAAAAUGAUGAUGGAGCCUGUUUUCCCCACUCUUGUCAUUUUAAGUUAGUAGAUUUCCCGGGUUUGUUUGUUGUUGUUUUCCCCCCACCCCCCCACCCCCACUUUCCCUUUUCAGGGGAUAGGCAUCUCCUUAGAUUUUUGUUUUCCUGUAAUUAGGGUCAGCUUUAUGAUUCGUUCUUCCACUGUCAUCCUUUUUCAUCCUAUUCACAGCCUGUACCGGUGAGGGAAUUUGUCUCAAAAGCAUUCAGCCCUUCAAAGAUUUUUACUGUGGUGAACUCAGAACUGAUUAACGGAAAAACAGAAACAGAAAAAGCGACCUGAUAUGGGGGGAUCUUGAUGCCGGUUGCAUCUCUCACGCACGGUAACUCAGAGGACAGGCUCCUCGGUAGUGCGGUAGUGCUAGUUCUGUGAAGUUUUUUUACCCUCCUUCCUAGCCCUGGAGGCGGGGUGAUUCAUAGCUCCUGUUCCAAAGGCAUUCAGCAGCCAUUCGACCUGGGAAAGAAACGGAGUUUUAGAAAAUACAGGCCACACGUAGAGACGCCUGUGAUUACCAGGAUGAGUAUGUCAGUGCAGGUGGCUUCUGAAUUUCUGUUUCCGAGUUUGUUUGGCUGAUGCCUGAGUAAAGGGGUCCCUUACGGCCCUGUUUUAUACCUUAGUUCUUGGUGGCAACGUGGGUGUUGCUGAUCUCUCUGAUGUGUUUUUCUGUGCAUUGAAAACACCAGACAUGCUCCGUGACAUCCUUGCAGCAUCUGCCAUCAUAACGGAGUGUUCCUAAUCUGACGAAUAGAAUAUUACCUCCCCGUCCACUCAAAAUAAAAUUAAAGUAAAAUUUA